AUAAGGUGAACUAAACAGGGCCUUAGGCUUUAGGGUUUCAGUUCUUCGACUUCUUCCUCUGAAGUCUCAACCCCUCUGCCGCAACUCUUCUCACUUCCUCAGUCACUCAGUUCAGUCACCAACGCCACCGGUCAGUCUCUCACGGCUCUCCUAGUCCUCACUCUCUCGCUCACGGAUCUCCUCAGUCCUCACACUCUCGCUCAUCGUUCACCACCGGUCGGCCACCGCAAGAUUGUCCCUUUUCCGGCAAGCUUUCACCGCAAAGACGCAAGGUAUGCAAGAAUUGGUUUCGGAGCAAAUCAACUAUUAUAAUUGACGAAACAAUUGAAGAAGCUUCGGAUAUCACAGAUUUUACGAUGGACGACAUACUUAAAUGAGUUUUGUUGAUUCAAUGGCUUCAUGUCUUUUUGUAAACUUAUAUUCAGAUGUUCUUUAAACUUAUUUAAAUAUCUGUAAACUUAUUAUGGAGUUUUUAGGAUGUUUGUAAACUUAUUAAUUAUCCCCCUCUCCCUUUAGGUGAGCUGUGUGCAGCUUCUGCCUCCUGGUUUGUGGCUAAUUUAUGCCUGUGUUCAGUAAGCUGUCUAGUAGUACUGUAGUACCACUUCUAUGAAUUUUAGUUUUUAUUAA
Molecule: long non-coding RNA, 627 nt
Organism: Spinacia oleracea (spinach)
Lineage: Eukaryota; Viridiplantae; Streptophyta; Magnoliopsida; Caryophyllales; Amaranthaceae
Exons: 2
Source: RefSeq, a predicted model, not a curated record